CAGCCGCCGCGGUAAUACAGAGGGUGCGAGCGUUAAUCGGAAUUACUGGGCGUAAAGCGCACGCAGGCGGUCUGUCAAGUCAGAUGUGAAAUCCCCGGGCUUAACCUGGGAACUGCAUUUGAAACUGGCAGGCUAGAGUCUUGUAGAGGGGGGUAGAAUUCCAGGUGUAGCGGUGAAAUGCGUAGAGAUCUGGAGGAAUACCGGUGGCGAAGGCGGCCCCCUGGACAAAGACUGACGCUCAGGUGCGAAAGCGUGGGGAGCAAACAGGAUUAGAUACCCCGGUAGUCCCUGUCUCUUAUAC
RNAcentral lists this ribosomal RNA (301 nucleotides) under uncultured bacterium. RNAcentral describes it as "partial 16S ribosomal RNA". It matches the Rfam family "Bacterial small subunit ribosomal RNA", at positions 509 to 807 of the family's 1533-position model. The record is from RNAcentral.